This is a long non-coding RNA of Solanum pennellii, 1340 nucleotides long. RefSeq lists it as uncharacterized. NCBI's taxonomy places the organism in Eukaryota, Viridiplantae, Streptophyta, Magnoliopsida, Solanales, Solanaceae. The record is from RefSeq and is a predicted model, not a curated record. The transcript has 2 exons.
UUUCAUAGAUACUUGUAAUAACGAUGUCACUAAUCAUGCCAAUUACUUCAUAAAUACAUUAUAAUAAUCUAUCAUGUUUGUUGACACCCAAUUUUGGCCUAAUAUUUUUAAAAAAAUUCGUAAUUUUGGGCCACAACGCUAAGCCCGUCAUUUGAGCCCAUUUUGAGUUUUUAUUUAACUUGCUAACUAGGUCAAAAAGAGGGGGAAAUUUUACAGAAAAAAAAAGGGGAGCCGCAGCCCCCCUCUUCUCUCUUCCUCCCAACAACCUUCCUCUUCUCUUCUCCCGUCCCCCUCCCCUCUCCCGUCGCCCCCUUCCUCUCCCCUUCCUUUCUCCUCCCUUUUCCGCCUCUCAUUUCCCACUGCCCCUCCUCUUUUCCUCCAUUUCCGUCUUUCCUAAACCAGACCCACAUAAGCCAAACACCACCAGAAAACUACCAAGUCAGACCCCAAAAACCCCAUCUCCAGCCGCCUCCUCUCCUCCUCUUUCACCCCUCUCUCCUCUCCUCCACCACCCAAUCGUUCCUAACUCAAAACCCUCACCACAAACCACCAAAGCUGUCAACAAACAACUCCGGACAGCAAACAACCAGCAGCAGCAGGCACUGGCCGCCUCUGCUCUCUUCCGGAAGGGGCGCAACAGCAUCCAACAGUCUCAAUCUCUCUCAUCACAAUCAACUCUCCAACUUGCAGCCUGCUGGAACUAAUCUGUCCACAAAUCCCCUCUUGUUUUCCAGCAAACACCCACCAAACAACAUCAGUCCAUUUCCCUCAUCCCUUUCACUAUUUUUCCUUUAUUUUUGCAGGUAUUCCGUCGUCCAGAGUGACUCUGAAAGCUCCAGUAGGCAGCGACUCAAAGAACAACGACUCCGGCGAAGCAAAAGUUCGCCUCAACUGUAGCAGCAACGAGCCAACACCAGACUACCACAAAAAAAAACAAACCAGAAUCAUUUUUUUGUCCAAAGUUGCAAGAGACAAGGGGAUAAGCGAAAUUAGAGUCCUCACAUUUCUCAAUUAUAUCACGUCAAAACGAUAAAUUAGGGGAGUAUUUGACUAUGAGGUGGCACCCACUUAUUUUAUUAUUAUUUUGCAUGACGGUCCUGCUCUCACAUAUUUCUCAUAUUUUUAUAGGGAUACCGUCCCCGACAUCAGUCGGGGAUGGUCAUAACAAUGUCUGGAUCUCGUGAAAUUGGGAAGAGACAAGGAUCUAAGAAAACAUCCAAAAAGAGUACAUCAAAUCAUUACUGUAGAAAUUCGUAGGGUACAUUCAACAGACAGUAUAAACACUGAUGAUUAAGAGGCUAUAAAACGUAUUGGUGCGCAAAAAAAAAAAAAACACUCCA